AGCGAACGCUGGCGGUAGGCCUAACACAUGCAAGUCGAACGGCAGCACAGUAAGAGCUUGCUCUUACGGGUGGCGAGUGGCGGACGGGUGAGGAAUACAUCGGAAUCUACUCUUUCGGGGGGGAUAACGUAGGUAAACUUACGCUAAUACCGCAUACGACCUACGGGUGUAAGCAGGGGAACUUCGGACCUUGCGCGAAUGAAUGAGCCGCGGUCGGAUUAGCUAGUUGGCGGGUUAAUGGCCCACCAAGGGGACGAUCCGUGGCUGGUCAGAGAGGAUGUUCGCCCCCACUGGAACUGGGACCCGCUCCAGACUCCUACGGGAGGCAGCAGAGGGGAAUAUUGGCCAUUGGGCGCAAGCCUGCUCCAGCCAUACCGCGUGGGUGAAGAAGGCCUUCGGGUUGUAAAGCCCGUUUGUUGGGAAAGAAAAGCAGCAGGUUAAUACCCCGCUGUUCUGACGGUACCCAAAGAAUAAGCACCGGCUAACUACGUG
RNAcentral lists this ribosomal RNA (492 nucleotides) under uncultured bacterium. RNAcentral's name for it is "partial 16S ribosomal RNA". It matches the Rfam family "Bacterial small subunit ribosomal RNA", at positions 29 to 507 of the family's 1533-position model. The record is from RNAcentral.